ACCUUAUAGGACUUUAAGUUUUUAUGGUGAUUAAUUGUCUCUUAAUCAUUGGGUCAACGGUUCGAAUCCGUUAGGGGGUACCA
This 83-nucleotide transfer RNA is filed under the name Bacillota bacterium. RNAcentral describes it as "tRNA-Ser". The record is from RNAcentral. Lineage: Bacteria; Bacillati; Bacillota.